AACGCGAAGAACCUUACCCAGGCUUGACAUACAGUGGACCGCGCUAGAGAUAGCGCUUUCCUUCGGGACCGCUGAACAGGUGCUGCAUGGCUGUCGUCAGCUCGUGCCGUGAGGUGUUGGGUUAAGUCCCGCAACGAGCGCAACCCUUAUCAUUAGUUGCCAACACUUAGGGUGGGAACUCUAAUGAGACUGCCUGGGUUAACCAGGAGGAAGGUGAGGAUGACGUCAAGUCCGCAUGGCCCUUAUGUCUGGGGCAACACACGUGCUACAAUGGUCGGUACAGAAGGCAGCGAAGUCGUGAGAUGGAGCAAAUCCCAAAAGCCGGCCUCAGUUCAGAUUGUAGUCUGCAACUCGACUACAUGAAGACGGAAUUGCUAGUAAUGGCGGGUCAGCACACCGCCGUGAAUACGUUCCCGGGCCUUGUACACACCGGUACUA
This 438-nucleotide ribosomal RNA is filed under the name uncultured bacterium. RNAcentral's name for it is "bacterial SSU rRNA". It matches the Rfam family "Bacterial small subunit ribosomal RNA", at positions 958 to 1398 of the family's 1533-position model. The record is from RNAcentral.